Roridomyces roridus is the source of this 99-nucleotide non-coding RNA. NCBI's taxonomy places the organism in Eukaryota, Fungi, Basidiomycota, Agaricomycetes, Agaricales, Mycenaceae. The record is from the annotation of a GenBank genome assembly.
GGCCGUCUAGCUCAGUUGGUUAGAGCGUCGUGCUAAUAUUCACAGCUCCUGGGAGUGCUUGUGACGCGAAGGUCUUGGGUUCGACCCCCACGAUGGCCA